Molecule: long non-coding RNA, 2717 nt
Filed under: Chrysemys picta bellii (western painted turtle)
Lineage: Eukaryota; Metazoa; Chordata; Testudines; Emydidae
Description: lncRNA (ENSCPBG00000008006.1)
Source: RNAcentral
UGCCAUGCCUCUGCUGAUCCCUGUCAUUUUUUAAACCCCACAGAUCCCCCUCCCCAGCCUUCGCUGAGCAUGGAUCCCCCAUCCGGAGUGGUGAGCGAAGGGCUCCCCCUGCUCAUCACCUGCACGGCCCCCAGGGAUGCUGGUCAGCGGAGGUUUCACUUCUACAAGGACAGUGUUGAGCUCGUUCCUGGGGAUGUGGAGUCUGAGAUCAGCACCACAGAGCCCAGCACCAGGUCUAUGAACAUCUCUGUGCUCAGCAUCCCGCAGGCCGGUCCCAACAACACCGGGGAAUUCACCUGCGGGUACGAGGAGAACGUGGGUGGAAGGUGGAUCCCAUCCCCCAGGAGCCACGCUGUUAAUGUCACUGUUACAGCCUCACACUAUACCCGUGAUAUUCUGCUGGGAACUGGUGGCAUCUUGCUUAUGGGUGGAGCCCUGGCUGCUCUCAUCUGCUACUGCCAUAGGAAGAAAAGAGUUCCAAAGCCUCUGAAAAGCACCAAGGGAUCUGAGCCUGGAGAACACACCAGGAACCUGGAUCCUGGUCAUGAUAAUAAGGGAUCAAAAGCCACGGGUGCUGGAGCAGAGCAGAUGGAACAGGUAACGUGAAUGGAUUUAUAGGCUAAGCUUCAAACCCCAGCACAGUCCAACCUCCUGGAAACGGCAAGGCCUGAAUCUUUUGCCCACUCCUAAAAUGCAGCUGCCUCUCUGGGGUGGGGCAGCCAGGUAACAGCCACAGAGAGAUGCUGCACAGGGUUUGCUCACACAGGAGGCAGGGCUGGGAAUUCAUCAUCCCUUUCACCAUCACCCCAAACCUCCAUUGAAUCACAGAAAUGUGGGGCUGGAAGGAACCUCAAGAAGCCAUCUAGUCCAGCCCUCUGUGCCGAGGAAGGAUUACUUAAACCUAGACCAUCCCAAUGGGAUGUCCAGAGGUUCUUAAAAACCUCCAAUGAUGACAUCCUCCCUAGGUCACCUGUUCCAGAGAUUAACUACCCUUAGAGAUGGAAAGUUUCCCUUAAUAUCUAACCUAAAUCUCCCUUGCCACAUAUUAAGCCCAUUACAUCUUGUCCUACCUUCAGUGGAUACAGAGAACAAUUGAGCACUGUCCUCUUUAUAAUGUCAUGUAAAAAAAUGGUUAUAAGGUCCCCCCUCUCUAAACUAAACAUGCCCAAUUCUUUCACCCUUCCACAUGGUCAUAUUUUCUAAACUUCUGAUCAUUUUUGUUGCUCUUCCCUGGACCUUCUCCAGUUUAUCCACAUCUUUCUUAAGUGAGUCACACAAAACUCGACACAGUAACCAGCUGAGUCCUCACCAUGCCGAGUGGGACAACAGUUACCUCCUGUGUCUUAUAUACGACAGUCCUGUUCCUAUACCUCAGAAUGAGAUUAGCCUUUUUCUCAGCAGCAUCGUGCUAUCGACUCAUGUGCAAUUUGUGCUCCACUAGAACGCCUUUCCUGCAGUACUGCUGCCAUACAAGUUAAACCCCUUUUGUCCUGCUGCCUUUAAUUUUUCCUUCCUAAAGGGAGUACUUUGCACUUCCCUGAAUUCCAUUUUACUGAUUUCAGGGGAAUUCUCCCUUUUUUUAAGAUCACUUUGAUCUUGUCCUCCAAUGUCUUUGCAACCACCUAUUUUAUAGGCGUACUCUUCACUCCAGCAUCCAAGUACUUAGUGUCUGUGCACCCCUCCCCCUCACCAUGUCUCUUUCCUCUCCCACCAGGGCUCAGAAGUCACCUACGCACUCAUAGCAUUCCCGGCCUCACAGGCCCACACGUCCCAGAUGACAAAAAAACCAAAACCUGCUGAAGAUGAGCAUGUGCUGUAUAGCGAGGUGGUGACAACGCACACCUGGAAGGCAACUAAAUAAGGAGGAGACACUCUCUCUAUGUCUCUCUGCAUGUUCUUCCCCUCCUCCAGACAUCCAUAUCCUUAACCCUUUAUACCCCAAGAGUCCUUUUAUGCCUCUUGGCGAGGGGCACACCCAAAACACCAUUGCUAGAAUAUUUAGCCAACCAGCAUCUUGUCAGGUAUCAUAUAAAAACUGGUAACCCGUUGGUCAUGAACACCACUGCAUGAUAUAUGCACGGAUUGUGUAGCAAGUGUUACGUAUGUAUGCUGGAAAUAUGCUAUGAAUGUAGUUGAUAAAGAAGCCGGCCCUAGACGAAGGAAUGUGGAUUCAUGUGUCUGCGUGAAUAAGGCUAACUGGCGGAUAAGCAAAACAGCCUGGCUUGUGUGCUCCUGGCUGGUUUGAUGCCCACUCUUACCCAGGCAGCCGGCAUUAUCUGAGAACUUACAAUCUCAUAGCUGGAGACCAGACCAGGUCACCUGUGUGUUAGAUUUGCUCUAAAUAGAUAUUAGUCUUAUAAGAAUGUCUUUAGUGUUUAGAUGCUAUGAAAUGCUUGUAUGUUGCUGCCUGCAUUAAUCUCACUGAUAAUGUGAAUACCCAAUGUUAUAAGUGUUUGCUCUGAAACUGUAAAUGCCCACAGUGUGGAGAGAAGCAUGACCAAGUGUGAAAUAUGAGUUUGCCACAAGAGGUGUUAUUUCCUGCCCAGCAAAAGCAGCCCAUAGACACCUGACAAACCAUUGUGGAACAUCAGAGGACAAAACACUUUGUUGCUUGCGUCCCCCAACCCAUAUAGAGGAGACACAGAUGGGAACUUGUCCCCUGCUCUUGAACUCUCGGGGAAGGGAAUAAAAAUCCCUGAGAAGAAGAAAUUGCGUCA